This 94-nucleotide transfer RNA is filed under the name Plantactinospora endophytica. RNAcentral's name for it is "tRNA-Ser". Lineage: Bacteria; Bacillati; Actinomycetota; Actinomycetes; Micromonosporales; Micromonosporaceae. The record is from RNAcentral.
GUCGACGUGUGCGGCGGUGCUGCCGAGCCCGAUGCUGGCGCGCAGCGCGGUCGGCGGCAGGUCGCGUCGGCCGCUCCGGUCGGCCGCCUCGGUG